GAUGAACGCUGGCAGAAUGCUUAACACAUGCAAGUCUACUUGAUUCUACUUCGGUAGUUGUUGGUGGCGGACGGGUGAGUAACGCGUAAAGAAUCUGCCCUUUAGUUUGGGAUAACCUUUGGAAACGAAGGCUAAUACCGGAUAUUAUGGAGACGUCGCAUGACGACUCCAUGAAAGCUAUAUGCGCUAGAGGAGGACUUUGCGUCCCAUUAGUUAGUUGGUGAGGUAAUGGCUCACCAAGACCGCGAUGGGUAGCCGGCCUGAGAGGGUGAUCGGCCACAAGGGAACUGAGACACGGUCCUUACUCCUACGGGAGGCAGCAGUGGGGAAUAUUGGACAAUGGGCCACAAGCCUGAUCCAGCAAUUCUGUGUGCACGAUGAAGGUCUUCGGAUUGUAAAGUGCUUUCAGUAGGGAAGAAAAAAAUGACGGUACCUACAGAAGAAGCGACGGCUAAAUAUGUGCCAGCAGCCGCAGUAA
Molecule: ribosomal RNA, 478 nt
Filed under: uncultured bacterium
Lineage: Bacteria
Description: partial 16S ribosomal RNA
Rfam family: Bacterial small subunit ribosomal RNA
Source: RNAcentral